GAUGAACGCUGGCGGCGUGCCUAAUACAUGCAAGUCGAGCGAACGGACGAGAAGCUUGCUUUUCUGAUGUUAGCGGCGGACGGGUGAGUAACACGUGGAUAACCUACCUAUAAGACUGGGAUAACUUCGGGAAACCGGAGCUAAUAUCGGAUAAUAUUUUGAACCGCAUGGUUCAAAAGUGAAAGACGGUCUUGCUGUCACUUAUAGAUGGAUCCGCGCUGCAUUAGCUAGUUGGUAAGGUAACGGCUUACCAAGGCAACGAUGCAUAGCCGACCUGAGAGGGUGAUCGGCCACACUGGAACUGAGACACGGUCCAGACUCCUACGGGAGGCAGCAGUAGGGAAUCUUCCGCAAUGGGCGAAAGCCUGACGGAGCAACGCCGCGUGAGUGAUGAAGGUCUUCGGAUCGUAAAACUCUGUUAUUAGGGAAGAACAUAUGUGUAAGUAACUGUGCACAUCUUGACGGUACCUAAGCAGAAAGCCACGGCUAACUACGU
Molecule: ribosomal RNA, 496 nt
Filed under: uncultured bacterium
Lineage: Bacteria
Description: partial 16S ribosomal RNA
Rfam family: Bacterial small subunit ribosomal RNA
Source: RNAcentral